This 1086-nucleotide ribosomal RNA is filed under the name Pseudozyma flocculosa. The record is from RNAcentral. Lineage: Eukaryota; Fungi; Basidiomycota; Ustilaginomycetes; Ustilaginales; Ustilaginaceae.
GAGUGUCACAUAAUCGAGGGCUGCGACUGUUUACCAAAAACACAGCAACUUGCUAAGACUAAUAGUACUUGUAUAAGUUGUGAACUCUGCCCAAUGCCAUGUCGUGUAAAGGAGGUGAUAUCGUAAAGAUGGUCACUAACUGAUGCCAUGGUGAAUGGCGGUCUUAACUAUAAGGAUCUGAAAGUAGCGAAAUUCCUUGGCCAUUAAAUGUGGUCCUGCAUGAAUGAGGUAACGUGGCCCUGCUGUCUCCACAAGCAUCUCAGUGAAAUUGAAUUAGCCGUGCAGAUGCGGGUUUACCUUCAGUUAGACGGGAGUGCGACAAGAAGUCUAUUAUAGUAAUGAGGUGAAAACCCUCCAGAUAAUCCAUUAUCUGAGCUUAAGUGGCAUGCUAAAUUAGUAAUAAGUUAGUGUGAAGCCCACCUAAAUCCAUCUUAAACAGAUUUCAAUAAUUAGCUAAGAUGGUGAGCUAGAUAUCUAUGAAUAACAUUUGUGAAUCCACGUUUGAAGCGUAGAACUGAACGAUUUUCUAGCGUAAAUCGAAUGUUGAUUGUAGUAAAGUGUUCCCGUACUUUACUUUAUGGAUCUAAUAUCAACCUACGUAUAGUGGGAUUCUAACGAUAUCAUAAAGGUACUAUAAUAGAAACUUGGUAAGCCCAAUAGUAUCUAUUAUUUAUUUAUAUACUAUAUUAUAAAGAAUAAUAGAGGUUUUAUUGUAAAAUAAAAUAACUACUAGUGGGUAAAGGAUGUUCUAAAAAAGCGAAAGGUUUACUGUAAUGGUAGAUAUAGGUCUAUUGACUAAUCUGAAAGGAUGCUGACUUUAGAACAGGCAUUUAAAAAAUAGAAAUUCUAAAAACCAAGAAAAUCGAAGAUUUAUAGCCCCUUGCAAAAUCUUCGAUUUUAAUGGCUUAAUGUUUUUCUUAGAAAAACAAAGGCUAGCCUUUCUGUUUUUCUAAGAAAAACAAGGCCUACAAAAUCUUCGAUUUUGUAGAACAAGCCUAACAAAAUCUCUUUGAGAUUUUAUGCACUUAAAUAAGUGAAUUUUUAUAAAUGUUUGAGCUGUAUGCGGUGAAAGUCGCACGUACAGUU